AUUGAACGCUGGCGGCAGGCCUAACACAUGCAAGUCGAGUGGAUGAAGGGAGCUUGCUCCUGGAUUCAGCGGCGGACGGGUGAGUAAUGCCUAGGAAUCUGCCUGGUAGUGGGGGAUAACGUCCGGAAACGGGCGCUAAUACCGCAUACGUCCUGAGGGAGAAAGUGGGGGAUCUUCGGACCUCACGCUAUCAGAUGAGCCUAGGUCGGAUUAGCUAGUUGGUGGGGUAAAGGCCUACCAAGGCGACGACCCGUAACUGGUCUGAGAGGAUGAUCAGUCACACUGGAACUGAGACACGGUCCAGACUCCUACGGGAGGCAGCAGUGGGGAAUAUUGGACAAUGGGCGAAAGCCUGAUCCAGCCAUGCCGCGUGUGUGAAGAAGGUCUUCGGAUUGUAAAGCACUUUAAGUUGGGAGGAAGGGCAGUAAGUUAAUACCUUGCUGUUUUGACGUUACCAACAGAAUAAGCACCGGCUAACUUCGUG
This 484-nucleotide ribosomal RNA is filed under the name uncultured bacterium. RNAcentral describes it as "partial 16S ribosomal RNA". It matches the Rfam family "Bacterial small subunit ribosomal RNA", at positions 30 to 507 of the family's 1533-position model. The record is from RNAcentral.